CUACGGGGGGCUCCAGUGGGGAAUAUUGCACAAUGGAGGGAACUCUGAUGCAGCAACGCCGCGUGGAGGAUGACACUUUUCGGAGCGUAAACUCCUUUUAUACAGGAAGAAGAUGAUGGUACUAUAUGAAUAAGCGCCGGCUAACUCCGUGCCAGCAGCCGCGGUAAUACGGAGGGCGCAAGCGUUACUCGGAAUCACUGGGCGUAAAGAGCGUGUAGGCGGAUUAAAAAGUCAGAAGUGAAAUCCUAUAGCUUAACUAUAGAACUGCUUCUGAAACUCUUAAUCUAGAAUAUGGGAGAGGUAGAUGGAAUUUCUGGUGUAGGGGUAAAAUCCGUAGAGAUCAGAAGGAAUACCGAUUGCGAAGGCGAUCUACUAGAACAUUAUUGACGCUGAGACGCGAAAGCGUGGGGAGCAAACAGGAUUAGAUACCCCCGUAGUC
Molecule: ribosomal RNA, 439 nt
Filed under: uncultured bacterium
Lineage: Bacteria
Description: partial 16S ribosomal RNA
Rfam family: Bacterial small subunit ribosomal RNA
Source: RNAcentral